GAACGGAGAGAUUCAUCGUCAUUCCCCGGCGCGCCGCGCGCGCGCUCGAUGCCCGUCGUUCCGGCGGCGGGCACGGCGCGCGUCGGCACGCGUCCGGGGACGGCGUGCACUUCUCUCUCAGUAAGACAUCGCGACCCGUUCGAUGUCGGCCUAAGCGCCGCCCGGGAGCCCAGCGGCGUUCGCGCGCCGUUGGACCGCGGCGGUGGCCGGCCGGCGUACGGACGGUACAAAACGUGAAACGCGCACGCGCUCUUGCGCGUCCGGCGCGACGCAAGGCAACGUCGUCAUCGAUCGCCUGCCGCAAGCGCGGCGGUCGGUGCGGCGCGCCUGCUAUCGCAGCCGUAUUGUCUCGGACCGUGCGCGUCUCGGUCGGCGAUGAUUCUGUUUCGGGCACUCGCAGGACCCGUCUUGAAACACGGACCAAGGAGUCUAGCAUGUGUGCGAGUCAUAGAGAUUCGAAAACUGAAAGGCGUAACGAAAGUGAAGAGUGCCUCGCGCACUCUUGGGAGGAUGGAGCGCGAUCUCGGUCGCGCUCUCGCACUCCCGG
This 547-nucleotide ribosomal RNA is filed under the name Nemophora degeerella. RNAcentral's name for it is "partial 28S ribosomal RNA". Lineage: Eukaryota; Metazoa; Arthropoda; Insecta; Lepidoptera; Adelidae. The record is from RNAcentral.